This 254-nucleotide ribosomal RNA is filed under the name uncultured bacterium. Its description in RNAcentral is "partial 16S ribosomal RNA". It matches the Rfam family "Bacterial small subunit ribosomal RNA", at positions 524 to 776 of the family's 1533-position model. The record is from RNAcentral.
UACGGAGGAUCCAAGCGUUAUCCGGAUUUAUUGAGUUUAAAGGGUGCGUAGGUGGGUUAAUAAGUCAGUGGUGAAAUACGGUUGCUCAACAAUCGAGGUGCCAUUGAUACUGUUAAUCUUGAAACAAGUGGAGGUUGCCGGAAUGGAUGGUGUAGCGGUGAAAUGCAUAGAUAUCAUCCAGAACACCGAUUGCGAAGGCAGGUGACUACGUUUUGAUUUGACACUGAGGCACGAAAGCAUGGGGAGCAAACAGG